UACGGAGGGUGCAAACGUUGCUCGGAAUCAUUGGGCGUAAAGCGAACGUAGGCGGCUAUGUAAGUCGGGUGUGAAAGCCCUCGGCUCAACCGAGGAAGUGCAUUCGAAACUGCAUGGCUUGAGUAUCGGAGAGGAUAGCGGAAUUCCCGGUGUAGAGGUGAAAUUCGUAGAUAUCGGGAGGAACACCGGUGGCGAAGGCGGGUCUCUGGGCCGAUAUUGACGCUGAGGAGCGAAAGCGUGGGGAGCAAACAGG
Molecule: ribosomal RNA, 253 nt
Filed under: uncultured bacterium
Lineage: Bacteria
Description: partial 16S ribosomal RNA
Rfam family: Bacterial small subunit ribosomal RNA
Source: RNAcentral